RNAcentral lists this ribosomal RNA (1534 nucleotides) under Salmonella enterica subsp. enterica serovar Kentucky str. CVM29188. RNAcentral describes it as "bacterial SSU rRNA". It matches the Rfam family "Bacterial small subunit ribosomal RNA". The record is from RNAcentral. Lineage: Bacteria; Pseudomonadati; Pseudomonadota; Gammaproteobacteria; Enterobacterales; Enterobacteriaceae.
AGAGUUUGAUCAUGGCUCAGAUUGAACGCUGGCGGCAGGCCUAACACAUGCAAGUCGAACGGUAACAGGAAGCAGCUUGCUGCUUUGCUGACGAGUGGCGGACGGGUGAGUAAUGUCUGGGAAACUGCCUGAUGGAGGGGGAUAACUACUGGAAACGGUGGCUAAUACCGCAUAACGUCGCAAGACCAAAGAGGGGGACCUUCGGGCCUCUUGCCAUCAGAUGUGCCCAGAUGGGAUUAGCUGGUUGGUGAGGUAACGGCUCACCAAGGCGACGAUCCCUAGCUGGUCUGAGAGGAUGACCAGCCACACUGGAACUGAGACACGGUCCAGACUCCUACGGGAGGCAGCAGUGGGGAAUAUUGCACAAUGGGCGCAAGCCUGAUGCAGCCAUGCCGCGUGUAUGAAGAAGGCCUUCGGGUUGUAAAGUACUUUCAGCGGGGAGGAAGGUGUUGUGGUUAAUAACCGCAGCAAUUGACGUUACCCGCAGAAGAAGCACCGGCUAACUCCGUGCCAGCAGCCGCGGUAAUACGGAGGGUGCAAGCGUUAAUCGGAAUUACUGGGCGUAAAGCGCACGCAGGCGGUCUGUCAAGUCGGAUGUGAAAUCCCCGGGCUCAACCUGGGAACUGCAUUCGAAACUGGCAGGCUUGAGUCUUGUAGAGGGGGGUAGAAUUCCAGGUGUAGCGGUGAAAUGCGUAGAGAUCUGGAGGAAUACCGGUGGCGAAGGCGGCCCCCUGGACAAAGACUGACGCUCAGGUGCGAAAGCGUGGGGAGCAAACAGGAUUAGAUACCCUGGUAGUCCACGCCGUAAACGAUGUCUACUUGGAGGUUGUGCCCUUGAGGCGUGGCUUCCGGAGCUAACGCGUUAAGUAGACCGCCUGGGGAGUACGGCCGCAAGGUUAAAACUCAAAUGAAUUGACGGGGGCCCGCACAAGCGGUGGAGCAUGUGGUUUAAUUCGAUGCAACGCGAAGAACCUUACCUGGUCUUGACAUCCACAGAACUUUCCAGAGAUGGAUUGGUGCCUUCGGGAACUGUGAGACAGGUGCUGCAUGGCUGUCGUCAGCUCGUGUUGUGAAAUGUUGGGUUAAGUCCCGCAACGAGCGCAACCCUUAUCCUUUGUUGCCAGCGGUUAGGCCGGGAACUCAAAGGAGACUGCCAGUGAUAAACUGGAGGAAGGUGGGGAUGACGUCAAGUCAUCAUGGCCCUUACGACCAGGGCUACACACGUGCUACAAUGGCGCAUACAAAGAGAAGCGACCUCGCGAGAGCAAGCGGACCUCAUAAAGUGCGUCGUAGUCCGGAUUGGAGUCUGCAACUCGACUCCAUGAAGUCGGAAUCGCUAGUAAUCGUGGAUCAGAAUGCCACGGUGAAUACGUUCCCGGGCCUUGUACACACCGCCCGUCACACCAUGGGAGUGGGUUGCAAAAGAAGUAGGUAGCUUAACCUUCGGGAGGGCGCUUACCACUUUGUGAUUCAUGACUGGGGUGAAGUCGUAACAAGGUAACCGUAGGGGAACCUGCGGUUGGAUCACCUCCUU